UGGGGAAUUUUGGACAAUGGGCGAAAGCCUGAUCCAGCCAUGCCGCGUGAGUGAAGAAGGCCUUCGGGUUGUAAAGCUCUUUUAGUCGGAAAGAAAGAGUCGCAAUGAAUAAUUGUGAUUUAUGACGGUACCGACAGAAAAAGCACCGGCUAACUACGUGCCAGCAGCCGCGGUAAUACGUAGGGUGCGAGCGUUAAUCGGAAUUACUGGGCGUAAAGGGUGCGCAGGCGGUUUUGCAAGUCAGAUGUGAAAGCCCCGGGCUUAACCUGGGAAUUGCGUUUGAAACUACAAGACUAGAGUGCAGCAGAGGGGAGUGGAAUUCCAUGUGUAGCAGUGAAAUGCGUAGAGAUGUGGAAGAACACCGAUGGCGAAGGCAGCUCCCUGGGUUGACACUGACGCUCAUGCACGAAAGCGUGGGGAGCAAACA
This 427-nucleotide ribosomal RNA is filed under the name uncultured beta proteobacterium. RNAcentral's name for it is "bacterial SSU rRNA". It matches the Rfam family "Bacterial small subunit ribosomal RNA", at positions 355 to 774 of the family's 1533-position model. The record is from RNAcentral. Lineage: Bacteria; Pseudomonadati; Pseudomonadota; Betaproteobacteria.